UUGGAGGGCAAGUCUGGUGCCAGCAGCCGCGGUAAUUCCAGCUCCAAUAGCGUAUAUUGAAGUUGUUGCAGUUAAAAAGCUCGUAGUUGAACUUCGGGAUUUGCCCAUUGGUCAGGCUUAACUGUCUGCACUGGUGUGACGAGUUCCUACCUUCUGAGGAAUCUCCAUGUCAUUCAGUUGGUGUGGGGGGAAAUCAGGACUGUUACUUUGAAAAAAUUAGAGUGUUUAAAGCAGGCGUCCGUCUGAAUACAUUAGCAUGGAAUAAUAAAAUAGGACGGUUUGGUUCUAUUUUGUUGGUUUCUAGGAUCACCGUAAUGAUUAAUAGGGAUAGUUGGGGGCAUUAGUAUUCAAUUGUCGGAGGUGAAAUUCUUGGAUUUAUUGAAGACUAACUACUGCGAAAGCAUUUGCCAAGGAUGUUUUCAUUAAUCAAGAACGAAAGUUAGGGGAUCGAAGACGAUCAGAUACCGUCGUAGUCUUAACCGUAAACUAUGCCGACUAGGGAUCGGACGAAGUUAAUUUUUUAAUGACUCGUUCGGCGCCUUACGGGAAAC
Molecule: ribosomal RNA, 551 nt
Filed under: uncultured Glomeromycotina
Lineage: Eukaryota; Fungi; Glomeromycota
Description: SSU rRNA
Rfam family: Eukaryotic small subunit ribosomal RNA
Source: RNAcentral